This 654-nucleotide long non-coding RNA is filed under the name Mytilus galloprovincialis (Mediterranean mussel). The record is from RNAcentral. Lineage: Eukaryota; Metazoa; Mollusca; Bivalvia; Mytilida; Mytilidae.
GCGCGAUACACAUUCUUGCAGGGAUACUGGGAUUUUCAUCAAAUUGAGAUUAAAAAACAAAUGUAUAACAGUUGUUUCUAUUUUAAUGCAUAUAUAACAAAAAAUAGAUAAAUAAAUGCACUAUAGCAUCGAAAAAUGUAUAAAAAUAAGAUUUAAAUAAAAUUCCGCGAAAUUUCGUGAACGAUUUGGCGAAUUUACGUCAUGGCAAACACGUCGUCAUACAAAUAAAAACUUUAAAGGUAAAGAUUUUUUCGUUUCGUGUACGCUUCAAAUUCGGAUAAUACCUCAUUAAAAUUAACUUUUGGAGGUAGGUGUUAUUUCAUUUUAAUUUCUGUUGGAUUUAUUAUAGAACAUUUAUAAAUUUUAAAAAGUCAAUAUGGCGGCCAACUCCUUAGUUACGACCUGUCAGUUGUGCAUGUGAUGGUAAUUAUAGAAGCCUUUACACAAACAAAUGUUAAUAAGAAAUCGCGAAUAUUUGGCUUAAGAAUUAUAAGGUUUAAACACAGUUUUUGCUAGAGGUUAUUGAUGUGUAAACCGGGGCUCUUACUCACAAACUUACAUAAAAGUCCUUCGGACUUUUAUUCAGUUUGUGAGUUAAUCGCCCCGGUUUACACAUCAAUAACCUCUAGAAAAAAUGUGUUUAAUCCUAUAAUA